GGGCCCAUAGCUCAGUUGGUUAGAGCAUCUGACUCAUAAUCAGAGGGUCGCAGGUUCGAGCCCUGCUGGGCCCACCA
Molecule: transfer RNA, 77 nt
Filed under: Crocinitomicaceae bacterium
Lineage: Bacteria; Pseudomonadati; Bacteroidota; Flavobacteriia; Flavobacteriales; Crocinitomicaceae
Also listed under: 1 other name
Description: tRNA-Met
Rfam family: tRNA
About the family: Transfer RNA (tRNA) molecules are approximately 80 nucleotides in length.
Source: RNAcentral